This 430-nucleotide ribosomal RNA is filed under the name Plagiorchis sp. 6 DSG-2016. RNAcentral describes it as "eukaryotic LSU rRNA". The stretch from base 273 to 430 matches the Rfam family "Eukaryotic large subunit ribosomal RNA", at positions 1 to 155 of the family's 3401-position model. The record is from RNAcentral. Lineage: Eukaryota; Metazoa; Platyhelminthes; Trematoda; Plagiorchiida; Plagiorchiidae.
CGCCUGUCCGAGGGUCGGCUUAUAAACUAUCACGACGCCCAAAAAGUCGUGGCUUGGGUUCUGCCAGCUGACGUGAUUUCCCCUAGUUCAUAUUGUUCCUGGGGUGUCAGAUCUGUGGCGUUUCCCUAAUAAGUCCGGUUACAACCACAUAUUAGCUUUUUGCUAUUAUGGGAUGUGGCUGCGGAGUCGUGGCUCAAUGGUUAUGUGCGCGCUCCGUAUGCUCAUCUGGUUCGUGUUGUGUACCAUGACCCGCGCUUCGGCGCUCUAUUUCCUGACCUCGGAUCAGACGUGAUUACCCGCUGAACUUAAGCAUAUCACUAAGCGGAGGAAAAGAAACUAACAAGGAUUCCCCUAGUAACGGCGAGUGAACAGGGAAAAGCCCAGCACCGAAGCCUGUGGCCAUUUGGUUACUAGGCAAUGUGGUGUUUAG